AUGAGUUAUUGCUAAUAGAAAUAAUGUAAUCUCCGAUUCCGAAUUUUUUAGAUCGGUUGACUAUAGGAUAUAGCUGUAAUGCAAACUGAAUAAUUGGAAUCAAAUACUUGCAUGGAAACUUCCUCAUUUAACGAUAUGUCUUCACGAAAUUUGAUCGGCUCACAAUAGCAUAUAGCUGCCAUACAAACCGAACGAUCGGAAUCAAGGGGUUGUAUGGAAAACUUUCGCAUUUGACAUGGUAUCUUCAUGAAAUUUGACAUGGAUUACUGCUUAAGAACAUCAGGAGAGUCAGGAUCAAUGUCACCAGGAUGCACCACUGUUUUUACACACGUCUCUCCCCCCUCUAAUUAUUUUAAUUUUUAAUACUUUUUUGAACAUUUUUUUUCUGUAUUCUUAAGAUAUCAAUAAAAAAAAUUAAUUAUAUUCAAAAAACUGCCCAAAAUUUGAUUUCCAUCUAUCUAU
Long non-coding RNA from Bactrocera dorsalis (oriental fruit fly), 462 nucleotides. RefSeq lists it as uncharacterized. The record is from RefSeq and is a predicted model, not a curated record. The transcript has 3 exons. NCBI's taxonomy places the organism in Eukaryota, Metazoa, Arthropoda, Insecta, Diptera, Tephritidae.